AGCGAACGAGCAUGAGCAACGGCACGCUAGAAUUAUGUACCUCCGGUUUUCUUGAGUAAUGUGUGCGCUGCGCGAUUUGCAGUCGGCUUUUAUUUUAUAAAUGUUAUGGAGGUGCAGUGUUUUUUAAAACUUUAACAUCACAAUAGGGAUUAAGAUAGUUCAUCGGUCUCGUUAAAAUGUACAGACUCCUCAAAGCCCGAGGUGUCACGGUGCAGAAGAAUUAUACAAAAUCUUUACAAAAUAAUGUUCAAUCAUCGAUGAAAGUUUGCUCGUUUUGCAAAUUCUUGCAUCCGAAAACAGCCAAGUUGACGAUCAAUUACCUGCAACAUCGACAUCAGUCAACGACCAUUCAUACGGCAGUUUUAGAUACACAAGUCCCAAAAAAAAUAAAGAGAAAGUCCAAACGAUACGCUGAACUGUUAGAAGUUUCAGAAAAUGUAACCAACAAUCGCAAAGCAUCAGUCAGAAAAUUAAAUGCAGAUCAUUUGUCUUUACUUAUUGACCAACCCGAUAUUACUUUGGACAAGUUGCAUAAAAUCAACAUCUCGAAGAUACAGAAGUAUGAGGAUCCACAGAGCGCACACGAUUUUAUGAUUUUUGAGACUACCACAUUGGCAGAUGAGAAAACCAAAUCAGAGAAUGAGACGGCUCAUGAGAGAGAUGAUGACAUUGCAAUAAUUGAAGAUUUAGAAGCAUCCGGAAUAUCUGAUCCUGCAGGUUUGAUAAAAAGUUCUUCCUUCUUGGAAACUUUGCAGGAAGAUGCACAUCGAGAUGAUACUGAGGAAGAAGCAGCAGAAAAUGUCCAGAAAAAAGAAAGAUCGAAUAAAAGUAAGAAAUUACAAACCAAAGAGGAAGAGGAUGCCCUCAAGAGCAGAAAUAGAGAAUUGAUAAUGAAAGGAAGGGAAGAAACUUUAGCUCGUUCCCUUUAUUCCUUCAUACAAGUUUGCUUGACCUGUGGAAUGACUGCGAGAGCGUGGCAGACGCUCAUGCAAUAUCGUCGAACUGGCUUGAACAAAUCGGGCUCUGGUGUAGUUAGAGACGUUCGUCUUUUCAAUCUCCUUUUGAAUAGUUACGCUGGAUGUGCAAACAUGCUGAAAAUCAAAGAAAUUCUACGUAUCUUGAAAGACGAUUCGAUACAACCUUCGCCUCAGACCUACGCUGCUGUCCUAGAAAGCUUCGGAAGGUUAAGGAAACGCGAGAAGGAAAGGGAAUUCAUGGACACUAUCGUAUUGGAGAUGAAAGAAAAUGGCAUAACAUUCAAUGACAUCGUAAAGUCUACAACAUUUCUACGUGAUCAGAGAAAACACACAAUGAAAGCGAUCAAAAUUCUGCAACCAGAUUUCAAGCCAAUCGAUGAUGUUCCCGAUUUUUCUUACGACUGUCGUCUCUUGAAAAAUAUUCAAUUUGGAAAGGCACGCCCAGAUUCCAGUGCAGCUAAGGAUUUAUUGACACUUGCGGAUCUCAAGAACAAACUUUCUGAACAGUUGAAAUUGGAAAUACAAGGUGACGUGGUCGUUAAGAGUAUCGAUGUUCCUGAUGAACUUAAACAUCCAGUAAUAUUUGCCAGAAAAAUCGUUGCGCAAAUAGAGGCAUCGUGGACGAAAGCAGCUCUAAAAGCAUUCGAUCGGAAUUUAUUAGCUCUGAAAAAUCGUGAAUGUCCACCGUGUAAUCAGCGUUUGACACUAUUGCCGUAUUUAUGUGUUUUGAAAAAAGAGGAUUAUGUGAACGCCAUUAUAACACAUGCUCAUCGUUUGGCUGAUGGUUCUGAAACCUUUAGUCUACCUAUAACAUCACUCUGUAACGACUUGGGCAGAACGAUUAAUAGAAAAUACGAGGUUGAAGAAAAACAGCGUAUGGGCGUAAUGGAAAAGAUCGAAAAGGUUUACAUCAAGUACUGCGAUUGGUAUUUAAAUCCAGACGAUAGAAUAAAUGGUAGGGUUGCGUGGGAAACGAUUGAACAGCAAACCAAGAAGAAAGGGGCGUCUCUGAACCCGGGAAAUUUAAAGUGGCCAUCGAACAUUCAUUACAACGUGGGAAAAUUUCUUUACGACAUCAUUCUCAAGGACAUCAAAUUCGACAUUAAUUGUCUGAAAGUGAACAGCACGGAAAAACACGAUAUACCUGCGUUCUACACGUUAUUCAGAUUCAAGGGAAAACGUUGUAAAGAAGAGAUUAAACCACAUCCACUCCUGGUUAAACUUUACCGAGAAUCCAAGCCAGAAACGUUGACUUUCCCAACCCCGUUAGUGCCUUCGGUGUGUCCACCAAAACCUUGGUCCUCCAUUCACGACGGCGGAUAUAUCGUCCUUAAAUCCGAAGUUGUUCGAGUACCAAUGAAUUCUACGCAUCAAUGGGAGAGAUUCGAGGAAGCUGGUACAAAGCGGUUGUCACCAGUUCUAGACUGUUUAAAUCAACUCGCCGCAGUUCCGUGGACUGUUAAUGAGCCGGUGCUUGACAUCGUGGUCAAGGUAUUUCGAGAAGGAGGGUCCGUUAAAUUGAAUGUCCCUCAACCACCCUCUGUCCUUCCAACACCACCUCAACUUUACCCUCAUUCUGAUCGAGCUGAGAGAAUAAGUGUUGCAAAACAAAGAAUGGAAUUACAAAGAAGAAAAGGCGAAAUGUACUCGCUCUGGUGUGAUUCGCUCUAUAGACUUUCGCUUGCGGAUCAUUUCAGGGGCAAGAUUUUCUGGCUUCCACAUAACAUGGACUUUCGAGGACGAGUGUAUCCGAUACCACCACAUUUGAAUCAUCUCGGCUCCGAUCUCGCUCGUUCUCUUCUCGUUUUUGCCUUAGGGAAACCUCUUGGGCCUAAAGGACUUGAUUGGUUGAAACUUCAUACGAUAAACUUGACCGGUUUUAAAAAGAGGGAUCCCGUCCGUGUAAGGCUUGAAUACGCUAAUGAAGUCAUGGACAAGAUUUUGGACAGUGCUGAGAAUCCUUUGGACGGACAAAUGUGGUGGGCAGGUUCAGACGAACCUUGGCAAACAUUAGCAGCUUGCAUGGAAAUCGCAAAAGCGUUAAAGUCCGGAGACCCAGAAAAUUAUGUUUCUGGAUUUCCGAUUCAUCAAGACGGCAGUUGCAAUGGACUUCAGCAUUACGCUGCACUUGGACGGGAUCAAAUCGGCGCGGAAAACGUCAAUUUACAUCCUUUCGAUACACCACAGGAUGUUUACAGCAGUGUUGCGGCGAUGGUUAACGAAUUACGCAAGCAGGAUGCUGCGAACGGCGUUGAGAUUGCAUCGAUUCUGGAAGGAUUUGUAAAGCGAAAAGUAAUAAAGCAGACUGUGAUGACGACCGUUUACGGUGUUACGAAAUUCGGUGCAAAGCUCCAAAUUGCACGUCAGUUGAAAGAUAUUGACGACUUCCCUCAGGAACACGUGUGGGCUGCUAGUGUCUACUUAGUAAACAAAACGUUCGACAGCUUGAGAACGAUGUUUGAAAGUGCUCGGGAAAUUCAAGAUUGGUUUACCGAGUGCGCCCGUAUUAUUUCGAUAUCCUGCGGUCAAAAUGUCGAAUGGGUUACUCCACUAGGUCUGCCCAUUGUUCAACCCUAUACCAAGCAAGAUAAAUAUUCUCCUAUGAAGGACAACAUCAUUUAUAUGGACCGACCAAAUACAAUGAAGCAGAAAAACGCAUUUCCACCAAAUUUCGUUCAUUCGUUGGAUUCUAGUCACAUGAUGCUCACGAGUUUGUACUGUGAAAACGAAAAUUUAACAUUCAUGUCCGUGCACGAUUGUUACUGGACUCACGCGUGCACUGUUGAAAAAAUGAACAAAAUUUGUAGAGAACAAUUCGUCGCCCUUCAUUCGGAGCCUAUCCUCGACGAUCUGUCGCGCUUUUUGCUUACCAAAUAUGGAUAUGUGGAAGGUGACUUGAACGGUGCGCCCGGUUCAUCGUUGAAUGCUGUAAAGAGAAAAAUCAACUAUACUCUGUCCAAUGUACCGAAACAGGGUAACUUCGAUCUUAAGGGAGUUCUCGAGUCGACGUACUUUUUCAGUUAAACUGACAAUUCGUUACAUCCAAUGGAGCCGGAGUUUUGUGAGAUCAAGAACAUCCGGAUCUCAGUGUUAUUGGGACACCAAUCGUUGCGUUCCAGUUGCAAUCAAGAAGAUCCGAGGUCCUCCAUGGUGUCGAAGCAGGGGAUGGGUAACUCGAAAGCUGUGCUUUAUAUUAAAUAUGUAUAGAUACAAUCACGAUGUAAGAUGAAAUUGUAGAUUAGAAUUAUUGAAGUACUGCGAAAAAAUGAAAUUUCUUCAACAAGGA
This 4263-nucleotide unclassified non-coding RNA is filed under the name Venturia canescens. RNAcentral's name for it is "dNA-directed RNA polymerase, mitochondrial, transcript variant X2". Lineage: Eukaryota; Metazoa; Arthropoda; Insecta; Hymenoptera; Ichneumonidae. The record is from RNAcentral.